AUGAGGUGUGGAUAGCGGAGAAAUUCCAAUCGAACUCGGAGAUAGCUGGUUCUCCUCGAAAUAGUUUUAGGACUAGCCUUGUUUCGUAGCAUUUGGGGGUAGAGCACUGAAUGAGGUAGGGGCCAACACGGUUACUGAACUCUAUCAAACUACGAAUACCAAAUGUGUAAGAACAAGAGUCAGACUGCGGGAGCUAAGUUCCGUGGUCAAAAGGGAAAGAGCCCAGAUCGUCAAUUAAGGUCCCAAAGAUAUAGUUAAGUGGAAAACGAUGUGAUUUUGCGUAAACAACCAGGAUGUUGGCUUAGAAGCAGCCAUUCAUUCAAAGAGUGCGUAAUAGCUCACUGGUCGAGUGAAGUUGCGCGGAAAAUUACCGGGGCUAAACUAUACACCGAAAUUGCGGAUUCAUACGUAAGUAUGAGUGGUAGAGGAGCAUUCUGUUGUAGGACGAAGCAUGAUCGAAAGGACAUGUGGACGAAGCAGAAGAGAGAAUGCCGGAAUAAGUAGCGAAAGCAUGGUGAGAAUCCAUGCCAUCGAAAGUCUAAGGUUUCCUGGGGAAGGUUCGUCCGCCCAGGGUAAGUCGGGACCUAAGGAGAGGCCGAAAAGCGUAUCCGAUGGACAGCAGGUAGAAAUUCCUGCACUACGUAAUACUUAAAAGACAUAAAUGACACAGGAGUGGAAGAUAAGCGAGGAAGAGGAAAGACUCGUAUCGAAAGAUAUAGUGAAAAUUAAAGUAACGAAUUAUCAAGAAGCUAAUGGCGAGAAAAGUUUAUGGAUAUUGUAUUAAGUACCCGUACCGCAAACCGACACAGGUAGAUGAGGAGAAGAUCCUAAGAUGAGCGAGAGAAGCAUUGUUAAGGAACUCGGCAAACUGACCCCGUAACUUCGGAAUAAGGGGUGCUGGAGUAAAAUCCAGUCGCAGAGAAUAGUCCCAAGCAACUGUUUAACAAAAACACAGGUUUCUGCUAAAUCGAAAGAUGAAGUAUAGGAGCUGACGCCUGCCCAGUGCUGGAAGGUUAAGGGAAAGAGUUAGGGUUAAACCGAAGCUUAGAACUGAAGCCCCAGUGAACGGCGGCCGUAACUAUAACGGUCCUAAGGUAGCGAAAUUCCUUGUCAGGUAAGUUCUGACCCGCACGAAAGGUGUAAUGAUUUGGGAGCUGUCUCGACAAUGUACUCGGCGAAAUUGUAGUACUAGUGAAGAUGCUAGUUACCUGCGACAAGACAGAAAGACCCCAUGGAGCUUUACUGCAGCUUGAUACUGGGUUUCGGUAAUUUAUGUACAGGAUAGGUGGGAUGCUAAGAAGUAUGUGCGCCAGCGCAUAUGGAGCAGACGUUGGGAUACCACCCUUAAAUUACUGGAAUUCUAACUAUAAGUCCUAAGCGGGCUUGAGGACAAUGUCAGGCGGGCAGUUUGACUGGGGCGGUCGCCUCCUAAAGAGUAACGGAGGCGCCCAA
RNAcentral lists this ribosomal RNA (1452 nucleotides) under human gut metagenome. RNAcentral's name for it is "bacterial LSU rRNA". It matches the Rfam family "Bacterial large subunit ribosomal RNA", at positions 804 to 2313 of the family's 2925-position model. The record is from RNAcentral.